Molecule: microRNA precursor, 98 nt
Filed under: Sus scrofa (pig)
Lineage: Eukaryota; Metazoa; Chordata; Mammalia; Artiodactyla; Suidae
Description: mir-544 microRNA precursor family
Rfam family: mir-544 microRNA precursor family
Source: Rfam by way of RNAcentral
AUCACUUGGGGGUCUUGUUUAAAUGCAAAUUCUGAUUUAGCAGGUCUGGGGUGAGGUCUGAGAUCCUGCAUUUAUAACAAGCCCCCAGGUGAUGCCAA